UUGCGCUCGCAGAGUAUACCAGUUUACUGGUAUACGAAGCGAAGACAAUCACAACGGACCCAAUCAACCCCGGCUAGGGAAGAGACGGCGAGGGAAAAUCGAAUGAAGUGCUGGAGUACACGAGCGGCGGACGGCUGAGUAACGCGUAGGAACGUACCCCAAACUGAGGGAUAAGCACCAGAAAUGGUGUCUAAUACCGCAUGUGCUCUAAGGAGUAAAGCUUCGGCGGUUUGGGAACGGCCUGCGUACGAUUAGAUUGUUGGUGAGGUAAUGGCUCACCAAGUCGACGAUCGUUAGCUGGUCUGAGAGGAUGAUCAGCCAGACUGGGACUGAGAACGGCCCAGACUCCUACGGGAGGCAGCAGUAGGGAAUUUUCCACAAUGGACGAAAGUCUGAUGGAGCAACGCCGCGUGCAGGAUGAAUGCCUUCGGGUUGUAAACUGCUUUUAUCUGUGACGAAUAUGACGGUAGCAGAUGAAUAAGGAUCGGCUAACUCCGUG
This 499-nucleotide ribosomal RNA is filed under the name uncultured bacterium. RNAcentral describes it as "bacterial SSU rRNA". It matches the Rfam family "Bacterial small subunit ribosomal RNA", at positions 62 to 507 of the family's 1533-position model. The record is from RNAcentral.